Phrynosoma platyrhinos (Desert horned lizard) is the source of this 74-nucleotide non-coding RNA. The record is from the annotation of a GenBank genome assembly. Lineage: Eukaryota; Metazoa; Chordata; Lepidosauria; Squamata; Phrynosomatidae.
AUGGGUAUAGUUCAGUGGUAGAAGCCAUGCUUUGCAUGUAAGAGAUCUCACAUUCAAUUUUUGCCAUCUCCAAG